CUUUUUCUUUCACCGGAGCUUGCUCCACCGAAAGAAAAGGAGUGGCGAACGGGUGAGUAACACGUGGGUAACCUGCCCAUCAGAAGGGGAUAACACUUGGAAACAGGUGCUAAUACCGUAUAACAAUAGAAACCGCAUGGUUUCUAUUUGAAAGGCGCUUUUGCGUCACUGAUGGAUGGACCCGCGGUGCAUUAGCUAGUUGGUGAGGUAACGGCUCACCAAGGCAACGAUGCAUAGCCGACCUGAGAGGGUGAUCGGCCACAUUGGGACUGAGACACGGCCCAAACUCCUACGGGAGGCAGCAGUAGGGAAUCUUCGGCAAUGGACGAAAGUCUGACCGAGCAACGCCGCGUGAGUGAAGAAGGUUUUCGGAUCGUAAAACUCUGUUGUUAGAGAAGAACAAGGAUGAGAGUAAAAUGUUCAUCCCUUGAC
Molecule: ribosomal RNA, 432 nt
Filed under: Enterococcus gilvus
Lineage: Bacteria; Bacillati; Bacillota; Bacilli; Lactobacillales; Enterococcaceae
Description: bacterial SSU rRNA
Rfam family: Bacterial small subunit ribosomal RNA
Source: RNAcentral